This is a small nuclear RNA of Trichechus manatus latirostris (Florida manatee), 106 nucleotides long. Lineage: Eukaryota; Metazoa; Chordata; Mammalia; Sirenia; Trichechidae. The record is from RefSeq and is a predicted model, not a curated record.
GUGCUCGCUUUAGCAGCACAUACACUAAAAUUUGAGCCAUACAGAGAAGACUAGCUGGACCCUGUGCAAGGAUGACACGUGAAUUCAUGAAGCGUUCCAUAUUUUU